Cebus imitator (Panamanian white-faced capuchin) is the source of this 665-nucleotide RNA transcript. It is a transcript of the gene named 60S ribosomal protein L12-like, with no coding region annotated. The transcript has a single exon. Lineage: Eukaryota; Metazoa; Chordata; Mammalia; Primates; Cebidae. The record is from RefSeq and is a predicted model, not a curated record.
AUGAAGAAAUUAAGAAAACAGAACAGCUUUCGGCUUUGGGCUCGGAGGAGGCCAAGGUACAACUUUCUUCGGUUGUCCCGAAUCUGGUUUCAUCCAACACCAGCCGCCUCCACCAUGCCGCUGAAGUGGAGAUCAAAGUCGUAUACCUGAGGUGCACUGGGGGUAAAGUCGGUGCCACUUCUGCGCUGGCCCCCAAGAUCGGCCCCCUGGGUCUGUCUCCAAACAAGGUUGGUGAUGACAUUGCCAAGGCAACGGGUGACUGGAAGGGCCUGAGGAUUACAGUGAAACUGACCGUUCAGAACAGACAGGCCCAGACUGAGGUGGUGCCUUCUGCCUCUGCCCUGAUCAUCAAAGCCCUUAAGGAACCACCAAGAGACAGAAAGAAACAGAAAAACAUUAAACACAGCAGGAAUAUCACUUUCGAUGAGAUUGUCAACAUUGCUCGACAGAUGCAGCACCGAUCUUUAGCCAGAGAACUCUCUGGAACCAUUAAAGAGAUCCUGGGGACUGCCCAGUCUGUGGGCUGUAAUGUUGAUGGCCACCACCCUCAUGACAUCAUAGAUGACAUCAACAGUGGUGCUGUGGAAUGCCCAGCUAGUUAAGAAGCACAAAGGAAAAUAUUUCAAUAAAGGUCCUUUAACAACUGAGAAAAAAAAAAAAAAAAA